Molecule: non-coding RNA, 77 nt
Organism: Ictidomys tridecemlineatus (thirteen-lined ground squirrel)
Lineage: Eukaryota; Metazoa; Chordata; Mammalia; Rodentia; Sciuridae
Source: the annotation of a RefSeq genome assembly
UGUUGUUUAUUGUAGCUCAGUGGUAGAGCUUGGGCUUAGUAUGCACAAGGACCUGGGUUCAAGUCUCAGAACAACAA